Molecule: transfer RNA, 72 nt
Filed under: Marmota monax (woodchuck)
Lineage: Eukaryota; Metazoa; Chordata; Mammalia; Rodentia; Sciuridae
Description: tRNA.Ala
Rfam family: tRNA
About the family: Transfer RNA (tRNA) molecules are approximately 80 nucleotides in length. Their secondary structure includes four short double-helical elements and three loops (D, anti-codon, and T loops).
Source: RNAcentral
AGGGUUGUGGCUCAGUGGUAGAGUGCUCUCCAAGCAUGUGUGAGGCACUGGGUUCGAUCCUCAGCAACACAA